RNAcentral lists this ribosomal RNA (253 nucleotides) under uncultured bacterium. RNAcentral describes it as "partial 16S ribosomal RNA". It matches the Rfam family "Bacterial small subunit ribosomal RNA", at positions 524 to 776 of the family's 1533-position model. The record is from RNAcentral.
GACGGAGGGGGCAAGCGUUGUUCGGAAUUAUUGGGCGUAAAGGGCGCGUAGGCGGCCUGGCAAGUGACGGGUGAAAGCCCUCGGCUCAACCGAGGAACUGCCUGUCAUACUGCCGGGCUUGAGUCCGGGAGAGGUGAGUGGAAUUCCCAGUGUAGCGGUGAAAUGCGUAGAUAUUGGGAGGAACACCAGUGGCGAAGGCGGCUCACUGGACCGGAACUGACGCUGAGGCGCGAAAGCGUGGGGAGCAAACAGG